Molecule: ribosomal RNA, 754 nt
Filed under: Arthrobacter sp. V3A11
Lineage: Bacteria; Bacillati; Actinomycetota; Actinomycetes; Micrococcales; Micrococcaceae
Description: bacterial SSU rRNA
Rfam family: Bacterial small subunit ribosomal RNA
Source: RNAcentral
CAGAUAUCAGGAGGAACACCGAUGGCGAAGGCAGGUCUCUGGGCUGUAACUGACGCUGAGGAGCGAAAGCAUGGGGAGCGAACAGGAUUAGAUACCCUGGUAGUCCAUGCCGUAAACGUUGGGCACUAGGUGUGGGGGACAUUCCACGUUUUCCGCGCCGUAGCUAACGCAUUAAGUGCCCCGCCUGGGGAGUACGGCCGCAAGGCUAAAACUCAAAGGAAUUGACGGGGGCCCGCACAAGCGGCGGAGCAUGCGGAUUAAUUCGAUGCAACGCGAAGAACCUUACCAAGGCUUGACAUGGACCGGAAAGACCUGGAAACAGGUGCCCCGCUUGCGGCCGGUUUACAGGUGGUGCAUGGUUGUCGUCAGCUCGUGUCGUGAGAUGUUGGGUUAAGUCCCGCAACGAGCGCAACCCUCGUUCUAUGUUGCCAGCGGUUCGGCCGGGGACUCAUAGGAGACUGCCGGGGUCAACUCGGAGGAAGGUGGGGACGACGUCAAAUCAUCAUGCCCCUUAUGUCUUGGGCUUCACGCAUGCUACAAUGGCCGGUACAAAGGGUUGCGAUACUGUGAGGUGGAGCUAAUCCCAAAAAGCCGGUCUCAGUUCGGAUUGGGGUCUGCAACUCGACCCCAUGAAGUCGGAGUCGCUAGUAAUCGCAGAUCAGCAACGCUGCGGUGAAUACGUUCCCGGGCCUUGUACACACCGCCCGUCAAGUCACGAAAGUUGGUAACACCCGAAGCCGGUGGCCUAACCCUU